UCCUAACACAAGACACAUCGAAAAGUCACCGAAAGCAGCCCAACUGCAGAUGAAGAACUAUUUGUCCGUUUGAAACCACUCAUGGAUGUAACAUGGACAGCAACAUUGGUUAGUGCAGAGUGACCUCCCAUAGCUUAAGACCUGGUUACAAGACAAGCUUCCCACUGCUGAAGAUCAGGAGGGAAGAACUCAAGAAAAGCAGCUGUUGCUAAGUGAUGCACCGAACUGACUGGAUCG
Molecule: long non-coding RNA, 237 nt
Organism: Hemiscyllium ocellatum (epaulette shark)
Lineage: Eukaryota; Metazoa; Chordata; Chondrichthyes; Orectolobiformes; Hemiscylliidae
Exons: 3
Source: RefSeq, a predicted model, not a curated record